Molecule: ribosomal RNA, 301 nt
Filed under: uncultured bacterium
Lineage: Bacteria
Description: partial 16S ribosomal RNA
Rfam family: Bacterial small subunit ribosomal RNA
Source: RNAcentral
CAGCCGCCACGGUAAUACAGAGGAUGCAAGCGUUAUCCGGAAUGAUUGGGCGUAAAGCGUCUGUGGGUGGCUUUUCAAGUCCGCCGUCAAAUCCCAGAGCUCAACUCUGGAACUGCCUUUGAUACUGGGUAUCUUGAGUAUGGAAGAGGUGAGUGGAAUUCCGAGUGUAGAGGUGAAAUUCGUAGAUAUUCGGAGGAACACCAGUGGCGAAGGCGGCUCACUGGUCCAUUACUGACGCUGAGGUGCGAAAGCGUGGGGAGCAAAUGGGAUUAGAUACCCCUGUAGUCCCUGUCUCUUAUAC